AUUGAACGCUGGCGGCAUGCCUUACACAUGCAAGUCAAACGGCAGCGCGGGUGCUUGCACCUGGCGGCGAGUGGCGAACGGGUGAGUAAUAUAUCGGAACGUGCCCUAGAGUGGGGGAUAACGUAGCGAAAGUUACGCUAAUACCGCAUACGAUCUACGGAUGAAAGUGGGGGACCGCAAGGCCUCACGCUCCUGGAGCGGCCGAUAUCUGAUUAGCUAGUUGGUGGGGUAAAGGCCCACCAAGGCGACGAUCAGUAGCUGGUCUGAGAGGACGACCAGCCACACUGGGACUGAGACACGGCCCAGACUCCUACGGGAGGCAGCAGUGGGGAAUUUUGGACAAUGGGCGCAAGCCUGAUCCAGCCAUGCCGCGUGCGGGAAGAAGGCCUUCGGGUUGUAAACCGCUUUUGUCAGGGAAGAAACGCUCUGGGCUAAUACCCCGGAGUAAUGACGGUACCUGAAGAAUAAGCACCGGCUAACUACGUGCCAGCCGCCGCGGUAA
This 502-nucleotide ribosomal RNA is filed under the name uncultured bacterium. RNAcentral's name for it is "partial 16S ribosomal RNA". It matches the Rfam family "Bacterial small subunit ribosomal RNA", at positions 29 to 523 of the family's 1533-position model. The record is from RNAcentral.